This is a non-coding RNA of Acanthosepion pharaonis, 112 nucleotides long. NCBI's taxonomy places the organism in Eukaryota, Metazoa, Mollusca, Cephalopoda, Sepiida, Sepiidae. The record is from the annotation of a GenBank genome assembly.
AUACGGCCAUAACGCGUUGAAACGGAUUCUCGUACGAUCACCGAAGUUAAGCAACGUCGAGCCUGGUCAGUAACUAGAUGAGUGACCGAUUAGGAACACAAGGUGCUGUAAG